AUCAUCAAAUGCUGCAAGACUAGCCUAUCGAAUUAUAAAUUUAUUAUAAUGAUAUGGUAUUGAUAUGACAUGUGAUUCAAACUAAUGCUAAUUGUAUCUUCUUCUUUUUUUUGAUAAGACGAUCGCUUCAUACAACUCUAGUAUGAAUACAAUCCAAAAGAUCAGAAAGGAGAAUAUCACGAAAAAACAAAGGUAAACAGUAAGCAUCCAUCCAAAUGCCGUA
RNAcentral lists this long non-coding RNA (223 nucleotides) under Elaeis guineensis (African oil palm). RNAcentral describes it as "long non-coding RNA (EGUI_LNC022571)". The record is from RNAcentral. Lineage: Eukaryota; Viridiplantae; Streptophyta; Magnoliopsida; Arecales; Arecaceae.